This 482-nucleotide ribosomal RNA is filed under the name uncultured bacterium. Its description in RNAcentral is "partial 16S ribosomal RNA". It matches the Rfam family "Bacterial small subunit ribosomal RNA", at positions 30 to 507 of the family's 1533-position model. The record is from RNAcentral.
AUUGAACGCUGGCGGCAUGCUUUACACAUGCAAGUCGAACGGUAACAGGCCGCAAGGUGCUGACGAGUGGCGAACGGGUGAGUAAUGCAUCGGAACGUGCCCAGUCGUGGGGGAUAACUACUCGAAAGAGUAGCUAAUACCGCAUACGAUCUAUGGAUGAUAGCGGGGGACCGUAAGGCCUCGCGCGAUUGGAGCGGCCGAUGUCAGAUUAGGUAGUUGGUGGGGUAAAGGCUCACCAAGCCAACGAUCUGUAGCUGGUCUGAGAGGACGACCAGCCACACUGGGACUGAGACACGGCCCAGACUCCUACGGGAGGCAGCAGUGGGGAAUUUUGGACAAUGGGCGCAAGCCUGAUCCAGCAAUGCCGCGUGCAGGAAGAAGGCCUUCGGGUUGUAAACUGCUUUUGUACGGAACGAAACGGCUCUGGUUAAUACCCGGGGCUAAUGACGGUACCGUAAGAAUAAGCACCGGCUAACUACGUG